GUCUCUGCAAGCCACUGUGAACUCAGGUUAGUUGAUUCUGCGUGUUUUCUUGUGGUGUUCUUCACCAUUCUGCCUUCUUUAAUCCUUUCUCCCUAUUUUCUUCAGGAUUCCCUUAACUUGGCCUAGUGUUUGGCUAUGAUGUCUACAUCUGCUUCCAUAAGUUGCUGGUUGAAGACUCUGUUUCUUUUUAUAUUUGUUAUUUUAAGAGGAUCUCCCUCAAUUUUUCAGGUUUGCCUUGAACUUGUGAUCUGUCAGUCUCAACUUCCUCCUUAAAAGCUAUAAUUACAGACCCAUAGUACCAGGCUAUCACAUUUCUUCUGUCCAUAACAAUCAAUCCCAAGAGGUGUGAAAUAGUAUCCCCCUGGAAUUGGAUUUCACAUUCAUUCGUGUAUGUGUAGGACUUCUUUGAGACAUAUCUGUUUAGGUCCUUUGCUGAUUUUCAAUUUGCUUUUUGCUUUUGCUGUUGCAUUGAGUUUCUUAUGUAUUUUGUUUAUUCAUUUUUACAUGCCAUGUAAGUUUUUUUCUUUCCUCUGUGGAGAUAAUUUCUUCACUUUGUUAAUUGCUUUAUUUGCUGUGUAUACAUUUUUUUAGUCUGAAGCAAUCCUGGCUGUACACUACUGCUCUUAUUGCUCAUGCCACAAGGCCAUUAUCUCCAUGAAUCAUUUCAAAUCAUCUUUUUAGUUUCAUUCUUCUUUUGAUUUGGGUUUGUUUUUUUGUUCCUUAUUUUUAACUCUUAGAAGUAUACUGGUAGAUUAUUUCCUUGAAAUCAGUCGUGUGUUUGCACAUGUGUGUAUACAUGUGUGUAUGUGUACAUGUGUGUACAUGUGCAUGCAUGUCUUCGGGAGAGUGCUUAUGAUGUGUUUAUACAUGGAUGUGGAGGUCAAAGGUUGAUGCCACGAGUCUUCCUUAGUUUUCUACAUCCUAUUUUUUUUAAUGUAUUCACUUUACAUGCGACUAACUGACCUCCCUCUCGGUCAUCUCUCUUCCCUCAAAUUUCUUUGCUCCUCCCUCCCCUUAUCCUCUGAGCAGGAACAGCCCACUGGGUACCCCCCCCCCCCACCAUGGCACAUAAAGUCUCUCUACUUGCACCCUCUCCCACUGAGGCCAGACAAGGCAGUCCAGCUAGAAGAACACAUUCCACAUACAGGCAACAGCUUUUGUGAUAACACCCCUUCCAGUUGUUCAGAACCUACAUGAAGACCAAGCUGCACAUCUGCUACACAGGUGCAGAGAGGUCUAGCCUGUGUUUGUUUUGGUUGGUGGGUCAAACUCAGAGAGCCCUAUGGAUUCAGGUUAGUUGAUACUGUUGGUCUUCCAGUAGAGUUCCUAUCUCCUUAAAGGCCACAAUUCCUCCUCCUGUUUUCCCAAAAGAGUCCUCAAGCUCCAUCCAUUGUUGGGUGCAGGUAUCUUCUGGUUCUUUGAGAAAACCAACAAGAUAGACAAACCCUUAGCCAAAAAACCAGAGAGACAAGUAUGCAAAGAAACAAAUUCAGAAAUGAAAAGAAAUACUCAACAACAUCAAGCUAAAUGGAGAGAAACUUAAAGUAAUUCCACUAAAAUCAGGGUCAAGACAACAAUGGCCAUUCUUUUUCUAUAUCUAUUCAACAUAGUACUUGAAGUUCUAACUAGAGCCAUAAGACAACUAAAGCAGAUCAAAGGUAUACAAAUCAGAAAAGUUAAAGUAUCGAUAUUUGCAGAUGAUACCUCCUAUUUUUUGACACUGUAAUUCUCACUGAACCUGG
RNAcentral lists this long non-coding RNA (1742 nucleotides) under Mus musculus (house mouse). RNAcentral's name for it is "long non-coding RNA chr2:15531112-15532854". Lineage: Eukaryota; Metazoa; Chordata; Mammalia; Rodentia; Muridae. The record is from RNAcentral.